This 200-nucleotide unclassified non-coding RNA is filed under the name soil metagenome. Its description in RNAcentral is "partial contains internal transcribed spacer 2 and large subunit ribosomal RNA". The record is from RNAcentral.
UGUACCCUCAAGCUUUGCUUGGUGUUGGGUGUAUGUUCUCUGUGCUUGCGCAGAUUGGACUCGCCUUAAAACAAUUGGCAGCCGGCACAUUGGCCUGGAGCGCAGCACAUUUUGCGCCUCUUGUCAUGGUUGUUGGCAUCCAUCAAGAUCUUUUAUCAGCUCUUGACCUCGGAUCAGGUAGGGAUACCCGCUGAACUUAA